Molecule: ribosomal RNA, 529 nt
Filed under: uncultured bacterium
Lineage: Bacteria
Description: bacterial SSU rRNA
Rfam family: Bacterial small subunit ribosomal RNA
Source: RNAcentral
AAUAGAUACCCCGGUAGUCCACGCCGUAAACGAUGAAUGUUAGCCGUCGGGCAGUUUACUGUUCGGUGGCGCAGCUAACGCAUUAAACAUUCCGCCUGGGGAGUACGGUCGCAAGAUUAAAACUCAAAGGAAUUGACGGGGGCCCGCACAAGCGGCGGAGCGUGCGGUUUAAUUCGACGCAACGCGCAGAACCUUACCAGGACUUGACAUGCACCUGCAGAGCCGUGAAAGCGGUUGGCCUUCGAGGGUGGUGCACAGGUGCUGCAUGGCUGUCGCCAGCUCGUGUCGUGAGACGUUGGGUUAAGUCCCGCAACGAGCGCAACCCUCGUGGCUAGUUGUCGAUGUCUCUAGCCAGACUGCCGGUAGCAAGCCGGAGGAAGGUGGGGAUGACGUCAAGUCAGCAUGGCCCUUACGUCCUGGGCUACACGCACGCUACAAUGGCCGGGACAAUGGGCAGCCAAACCGCAAGGUGGAGCGAAUCCCACAAACCCGGUCUCAGUUCAGAUCGCGGGCUGCAACUCGCCCGCGU